UCCCUCUUACAAGGGCAGUUUGUCAUGAGUUCCCGACAUUACUCGCUGGCAACAUAACAUGAGGGUUGCGCUCGUUGCGGGACUUAACCCAACAUUUCACAACACGAGCUGACGACAGCCAUGCACCACCUGUGACACACCCUCGAAGGCGGCUCCGUUUCGGGAGCUUGCAGUGUCAUGUCAAGCCUGGGUAAGGUUCUUCGCGUUGCAUCGAAUUAAGCAAUAUGCUCCACCGCUUGUGCGGGCCCCCGCCAAUUCCUUUGAGUUUCAACCUUGCGGCCGUAGUCCCCAGGCGGAUCACUUAAUGCGUUAGCUGCGGCACCGAGGGAAACCCCCCGACACCUAGUGAUCAUAGUUUAGGGCCAAGACUAC
RNAcentral lists this unclassified non-coding RNA (372 nucleotides) under uncultured bacterium. RNAcentral's name for it is "contains 16S-23S intergenic spacer region". The record is from RNAcentral.